UCACAGCAACAUCGAGACUAGUAUUUGAUCAAAAAACCAGGCACCUUAGCCUAGACAAAUUGAUACAUAAAAUUAACCAUCACAAAGAUGCUAUAUGAUUUUUUGCACAUGACUCAAGAGUUCUAAAACCUGGGAGUUCUCAUUGUGGCUCAGCGGGUUAGGAACCUGACUAGUAUACAUGAGGAUGGGGGUUUGCUCCCUGGCCUCUCUCAUUGUUGUUGCUGCAGUCUACAGUGUUGGUCACAAAAUGCAGCUAGGAUCUGGUGUUGCUGUGGCUGUGGUGUAGGCUGGCAACUACUGCUCUGAUUCAACUCUUAGCCUGGGAACUCCAUAUGCUGCAGAUAUGACCCUAAAAGAUUAAAAAAAAAAAAAAGAGUUCUAAAAACUGAAUGACAUUAAUAUAGCAAAACUUGUAUUCCUAAAGUGAGAGCUGAAUUGAUAUUUAACUCUGACUUUUUCUAACAAUAACUAAUAUUCAACCAUACCUACAUGAGGUAAUUUGUAAAAAAAUUUCCAUCUAUCUCCCUAAAAAUUCAUUUUCUUAAUAAUUACAUGUCAAAAUGUAUAAUAUAUAUUUGUACUGUUUAAUUCAAUUGUGUACUCCUAACAGUAAUAAAAAAACUCAUUUCAAAGAAUCUUCAAUAGUUAGACUCUUAUGGACACAAAUAUUUAACAAAUGAUCUCCAAAUGAGUACACAUAAUUUUACUACAGAGUAAUCUGAUGAUUAAGAAAAGGUUUUUAAGCAUAAAAUUAUAUUAAGUUAGAGUAAAAUUCUUUUCCCUAUUAACAGCUAAUUUUUAUUUUUAUUUUUGUUUUUUAAAUUUAUUUUUUAUUGAUAUUUCCCCCAACAAAUUUUUUUUUCCACUAUACAGCAUGGGGACCCAUUACACAUACAUGAUAAAUAAUUCUUUUUUUCACAUUAUCAUGCUCCAUCAUAAGUGACUAGAUAUAGUUCCCAGUGUUCUACAGCAGGAUCUCAUUGCUUAUCCAUUCCAAAGGCAAUAGUCUGCAUCUAUUAACCCCAAGUUCCCAAUCCAUCCCACUCCCUCCCCCUCCCCUUUGGCAACCACGAGUCUAUUCUCUUAGCAGAGAUAGUAAAGAAAAAAAUAUUAGAAGACAAGUCUCAUAUGUCUUGAGAACACAAAAGACAUUUCCAUCUAAAAAUAAAUUUGUACUAAACAAAGGAAACUUUUCAAGUUCUCAGCUCUACACAAUAUAUUGCUUAAAUGGGACUGAACCUUAGAUGUCAUCUGAUUCCAUUCCAUUGUUACAACUGAGGAAAUUAGUCCCCAAAAAGGUAAUAAGAGUAUCUCCACCUCCUCCAGUGUCUGAUUACAUCAUGAUGUAGAGAUGUCUUGAGAAGGGAAUUAGGCACAUCAUCUUGUUCUGAGAAAAAUAUGAGGCAAAUAUACAGCCUC
This 1419-nucleotide long non-coding RNA is filed under the name Sus scrofa (pig). Its description in RNAcentral is "lncRNA (ENSSSCG00060054310.1)". The record is from RNAcentral. Lineage: Eukaryota; Metazoa; Chordata; Mammalia; Artiodactyla; Suidae.